This is a long non-coding RNA of Oncorhynchus masou masou (cherry salmon), 1053 nucleotides long. RefSeq lists it as uncharacterized. The transcript is spliced from 6 exons. The record is from RefSeq and is a predicted model, not a curated record. NCBI's taxonomy places the organism in Eukaryota, Metazoa, Chordata, Actinopteri, Salmoniformes, Salmonidae.
UAGAGUGUGUGGGUGGGUCUAUCACUAUGGAGAGUAUAUCUUUAUAGAGUUCGCCUGUGGUGAGAGAUCCCCAGUUUAUAGUCCAAUAAACAGAGGCAAACGCUCCUCCUUCAUAUCCCUGGUAAAGUGGCCCAGUCUCCUCUCAGUCAAAUGGCCAGUGAUGUGGGUGUGUGUGAUAUGGGUGUGUGUGAUAUGGGUGUGUGCGUCCGUCAGUGUGAGUUAGAGUGCAGUAACUGCGUCUCUGUUGCCAAGCUGAACGGAGAGAAGGAGAGAAUGCGCUGGGGACUAAUAGGGAGACUCCCAUCCAGCAGACACAAGAAACAGAGAAGAGGGAGGGGGACAUAAAGAAAGACAAAGAGAGCUGAAUUUCCAAGAUGCAGAGAAGCAUAUUUGACGUCUUUAAAAAAUAACCACCAGCCAGGAGGAUACAGACAGCUCAAGAGUAGGUGCUUUUCAUCUCAACAGCUGCAGAUGACAGAGCAGAUUGAGACAGGAGGUGCUCUCAGCUCCGACGCAACCGGACUGUGACAGUGAGUGGGACCAGCGAAAUGGGGUUUGCGUGUGUGUGCUUGGGUGUGGUACCUGAUGAUGAUCCUGGAGGCAGACAGAAGACUAAGAUGGUGUCGGACUCCAAGUGCCCCAUCUUCAUGGAAACCUUUUACUUUGUCAUCACUGAGGAGCAGCAUCAUAAAAGGCUAUUGUUCACCAUGUGGAACUGUGACCAAAUCUCAAGAGGCUGCUGCGUCCAGAUCACAUCCAACUCCGGGGAAGCCGGCGCCCGCUAGAUUUCACUAGGGCACCUUGGAGUCAGAGAUCCACUCAAAACUACAAAUCAAAUGUUAUUUCUCUCCAAGGUGUACUAUCCCAAUAAUUGAUGUGUCGUGAGUUCUUGUACAACAAGCCUCUGUGAUGGCCAAGCCUGUGUCAUCUAGCUAAAGUUGCAGAUAAAAACAAAAGCUAGCUAGCUAGCCAUUAGCUUAUUUUGACCAAACGAACGGACUUACUAGUCAUAUGACUCCAUUGAAUUGAUAUAUAUAUAAAUAAUCAAUACUA